AUGCAGAGGAGGAGCUCAGCGAUGGAAAGCUAACAGACCUUCUAACUGAGGCAGGUGAAAUUCCGUCUGCCACCAGCCGUCUUCGACCCUGUGCUGUAAAUCAACCCAGCAGUUACAACAGGCAGCGACGCAGCCAAAGAAUCCAGAGCAGAGCCAGCAGGAGUGGAGUUCGUACCCCCAACACUCCCUGGCAUGUACCAAAAUACCUCUUAGGAGCAACAAGUUCUGCAGUCACAACAGACCAGCUCAGUAAAUCUCCGUCAAGUCAAACAGAGGAAAAAGAUGGUCCAGACUAGUCUCAGGUCUUUGCUGUCUUAUCUACUGGACGAGUGUGCACGCGUUGUCUCAAGCCUGGCAGUAACAGCCUCAGGAUGGCAGCAUUGUGCUGCACAGAGCUGCAGCCACUGACGCGUGAGUGACGUCAAAACCAAACCUAUCUGCAGCAAGUUCAGCAAAUCAGUGACACUGUGAAAGCCAACACUUUCUGUCCGUGCCGCCACCUGGGUUUGGCUCUGUCUGUGUGUCUGUAGCAGAUUUGCCAUUUUUUUUGUCUGUGAUUUCUGGAGGUUUCUUCCUUGAAAUAUUGUGAAUGGUAUCAAAAGGAAACAUAUAUAGGAAAAGAAAAAUGCACACACAGCCUCUGUCCCUGUCUUACAUUGGACGUCCUCAGUUAUUUUUGAUGCAUUAUGAUGAGAAUAGACACGGCAUGUAGGUGGACUCGGAGCUGAAAGUCUGACUUCAGUAGGGAAGUGCUCAUCUGCAGGACUCCCUCCUCCAUCUCCACGAUGAGCUGUUACCUAGCAACACCAGCCUUGGUGAUUCUGUCACCAUGCGUCCAGCUGUGCCCACGUGGAGACUUCAUCACUCGCACGCUGCCUUUGACACGAGGCUCAUCCGCUCGGAUCAGUUGUUUUUUCAUAUUGGCAGCUAAAGGCGUCUCACUUUUCAUUUGAUUUGUGAAAAGGAGAUGGAAUCAUUCAGAAUGUAACGUUAAAUUU
Molecule: long non-coding RNA, 998 nt
Organism: Thalassophryne amazonica
Lineage: Eukaryota; Metazoa; Chordata; Actinopteri; Batrachoidiformes; Batrachoididae
Exons: 3
Source: RefSeq, a predicted model, not a curated record